Molecule: long non-coding RNA, 1064 nt
Filed under: Homo sapiens (human)
Lineage: Eukaryota; Metazoa; Chordata; Mammalia; Primates; Hominidae
Description: HSALNT0125694
Source: RNAcentral
UGAAGAAGGAUGUAUUUGCUUCCCCUUCUGCCAUGUUUGUAAGUUUCCUGAGGCCUCCCCAGCCCUUCAGAACUGGACUUUCACAGUGUCAGGUUAGUUACCUAAAUCUUAGGUAACUUUAGGUUAGUUACCUAAAGUCACUCUGUGACUUCAUCCUGAUAUAAAGGAACAAGGAAGAGAGUCGGAUUAGGCUAACUCACUAUGGUGGGGUAACACAUAGAAAAGGCACGGAGAAGUUAAGUGAUUUGCCUGUGGUCACAAAGCCUGUUAGCAGCAAACCCAGAACAAGAACCUAAGAUUUAUGACCGCCAGUUCCAGCUGUUUUUCUUCGUCAUGUAUCCUCAGCAAUCAACAUAAUCAAAAUCUGUUUGGAGGCUACUGAUUUGUAUAAAGGAAGAUAACACCGAACAACCAAACAGGAAGUAAUCCAGCGAAUCUGGAACAGCGGUGGAAUUUAGAAGCAAGGCCAGGUGAGGACCCUAAGACCUAGAGAAACUAAGUCAUUUGCUCAAGAAGACAAAGGUAAUCAUCAGAAAUCAACAUGAGAUUUCAGCUCUCCUGAUCCUUAGUACAACAUGUGAAAGAAGAUAUGUUGUCUUUACUCACAGUGGAGGCAUUUUUCUAGCUGUGUUUGAUUUGGCUUCCCUAUAGAUUCAGGACCCAUAACUCUUGUUCUCACUCAUCUGCUAUGCUGCUGAUAAGGACUUUCAGGUCAACAGCUGUAACUGCUAAAUGAAGUUAAUACUCUGGAAAAAAAAAAAAAAAAAAACAUCGUCUGGUCCAGUUCAGCACAGAGCUAGCUGCAAGUGACAACCUAAGAGAAAAGUCAGCGAGAACAAAGAUCCAUCUCUUCGUUGACUGCCUUAAUCCCUAGAGCUGUGUUCUUCAAUUUGUUACUAUUUGCUACAAUUUUUCUGCCUAACAAGCAAGUUCUAUCCUGCCUAGGAGAGAAACUUUUAGUAAAUUCAUCUUCAUUCACUACUAUUCAGCUCAUGCUGUAAAAACUUAGAUAAUGCUGUCUGAAAUACUUAACUCCUGGUCAAAUGCAGCUGCUAUUUCAUUCA